This 253-nucleotide ribosomal RNA is filed under the name uncultured bacterium. Its description in RNAcentral is "partial 16S ribosomal RNA". It matches the Rfam family "Bacterial small subunit ribosomal RNA", at positions 524 to 776 of the family's 1533-position model. The record is from RNAcentral.
UACGGGGGGAGCAAACGUUGUUCGGAAUCACUGGGCGUAAAGGGCGUGUAGGCGGCUGAAUAAGUGGGAUGUUAAAUCCCCCGGCUCAACCGGGGACCUGCAUCUCAUACUGUUCAGCUCGAGCACAUCAGAGGAGACUGGAAUUCCCGGUGUAGCGGUGAAAUGCGUAGAUAUGCGGAGGAACACCGAUGGCGAAGGCAAUACCCUGGGCCUACACUGACGCUCAUGCACGAAAGCGUGGGGAGCAAACAGA